GAUGAACGCUGGCGGCGUGCCUAAUACAUGCAAGUCGAGCGAACAGACGAGGAGCUUGCUCCUCUGACGUUAGCGGCGGACGGGUGAGUAACACGUGGAUAACCUACCUAUAAGACUGGGAUAACUUCGGGAAACCGGAGCUAAUACCGGAUAAUAUAUUGAACCGCAGGGUUCAAUAGUGAAAGACGGUUUUGCUGUCAGUUAUAGAGGGAUCCGCGCCGGAUUGGCUAGUAGGUAAGGUAACGGCUUACCACGGCUACCAGGCGUGGGCGACCUGACAGGGUGGUCGGCCACCCUGGAGCGGAGACACGGUCCAGGCGCCUACGGGAGGCAGCAGUAGGGAAUCUUCCGCAAUGGGCGAAAGCCUUGCGGAGCAACGCCACGUGAGUGAUGAAGGUCUUCGGAUCGUAAAACUCUGUUAUUAGGUAAGAACAAAUUUGUAAGUAACUAUGCACGUCUUGACGGUACCUAAUCAGAAAGCCACGGCUAACUACGUG
Molecule: ribosomal RNA, 497 nt
Filed under: uncultured bacterium
Lineage: Bacteria
Description: partial 16S ribosomal RNA
Rfam family: Bacterial small subunit ribosomal RNA
Source: RNAcentral